UGGGGAAUUUUGGACAAUGGGCGCAAGCCUGAUCCAGCAAUGCCGCGUGAGUGAAGAAGGCCCUCGGGUUGUAAAGCUCUUUUGUCAGGGAAGAAAAGGUGAUCUCUAAUACAGGUCACUCAUGACGGUACCUGAAGAAUAAGCACCGGCUAACUACGUGCCAGCAGCCGCGGUAAUACGUAGGGUGCAAGCGUUAAUCGGAAUUACUGGGCGUAAAGCGUGCGCAGGCGGUUUUAUAAGUCAGAUGUGAAAUCCCCGGGCUCAACCUGGGAACUGCAUCUGAGACUGUAUGGCUAGAGUGUGUCAGAGGGGGGUAGAAUUCCACGUGUAGCAGUGAAAUGCGUAGAUAUGUGGAGGAAUACCGAUGGCGAAGGCAGCCCCCUGGGAUAACACUGACGCUCAUGCACGAAAGCGUGGGGAGCAAACA
RNAcentral lists this ribosomal RNA (427 nucleotides) under uncultured bacterium. Its description in RNAcentral is "partial 16S ribosomal RNA". It matches the Rfam family "Bacterial small subunit ribosomal RNA", at positions 355 to 774 of the family's 1533-position model. The record is from RNAcentral.